UACGUAGGGUGCGAGCGUUAAUCGGAAUUACUGGGCGUAAAGCGUGCGCAGGCGGUUUUAUAAGACAGGGGUGAAAUCCCCGGGCUCAACCUGGGAACGGCAUUUGUGACUGUAAGACUAGAGUACGGUAGAGGGGGAUGGAAUUCCGCGUGUAGCAGUGAAAUGCGUAGAUAUGCGGAGGAACACCGAUGGCGAAGGCAAUCCCCUGGACCUGUACUGACGCUCAUGCACGAAAGCGUGGGGAGCAAACAGG
RNAcentral lists this ribosomal RNA (253 nucleotides) under uncultured bacterium. RNAcentral's name for it is "partial 16S ribosomal RNA". It matches the Rfam family "Bacterial small subunit ribosomal RNA", at positions 524 to 776 of the family's 1533-position model. The record is from RNAcentral.